This 226-nucleotide ribosomal RNA is filed under the name Weissella soli. Its description in RNAcentral is "partial 16S ribosomal RNA". It matches the Rfam family "Bacterial small subunit ribosomal RNA", at positions 565 to 790 of the family's 1533-position model. The record is from RNAcentral. Lineage: Bacteria; Bacillati; Bacillota; Bacilli; Lactobacillales; Lactobacillaceae.
GCGAGCGCAGACGGUUAUUUAAGUCUGAAGUGAAAGCCCUCAGCUCAACUGAGGAAUUGCUUUGGAAACUGGAUGACUUGAGUGCAGUAGAGGAAAGUGGAACUCCAUGUGUAGCGGUGAAAUGCGUAGAUAUAUGGAAGAACACCAGUGGCGAAGGCGGCUUUCUGGACUGUAACUGACGUUGAGGCUCGAAAGUGUGGGUAGCAAACAGGAUUAGAUACCCAAG